UACGUAGGGUGCGAGCGUUGUCCGGAAUUAUUGGGCGUAAAGAGCUCGUAGGCGGUGUGUCGCGUCGGCCGUGAAAACCUGCAGCUUAACUGUGGGCGUGCGGUCGAUACGGGCAUCACUGGAGUUCGGCAGGGGAGACUGGAAUUCCUGGUGUAGCGGUGAAAUGCGCAGAUAUUAGGAGGAACACCGGUGGCGAAGGCGGGUCUCUGGGCCGAUACUGACGCUGAGGAGCGAAAGCGUGGGGAGCGAACAGG
RNAcentral lists this ribosomal RNA (254 nucleotides) under uncultured bacterium. RNAcentral describes it as "partial 16S ribosomal RNA". It matches the Rfam family "Bacterial small subunit ribosomal RNA", at positions 524 to 776 of the family's 1533-position model. The record is from RNAcentral.